GACGAACGCUGGUGGCGUGCUUAACACAUGCAAGUCGUGCGGUAAGGCCCUUUCGGGGUUACACGAGCGGCGACCGGGUGAGUAACACGUGAGCAACCUGCCCUUCACUUUGGGAUAACUGCCGGAAACGGUGGCUAAUACCGGAUAUGACUUCCUCACGCAUGUGGGGUGGUGGAAAGCUUUCGGGUGGUGGGGGAUGGGCUCGCGGGCUAUCCGCUUGUUGGUGGGGUGGUGGCCUACCAAGGCUUCGACGGGUAGCCGGCCUGGGAGGGUGACCGGCCACACUGGGACUGAGACACGGCCCAGACUCCUACGGGAGGCAGCAGUGGGGAAUAUUGGACAGUGGGCGAAAGCCUGAUCCAGCAACGCCGCGUGAGGGAUGACGGCCUUCGGGUUGUAAACCUCUUUCGCCUGCGACGAAGCGAGAGUGACGGUAGCAGGUAAAGAAGCACCGGCCAACUACGUG
This 466-nucleotide ribosomal RNA is filed under the name uncultured bacterium. RNAcentral's name for it is "partial 16S ribosomal RNA". It matches the Rfam family "Bacterial small subunit ribosomal RNA", at positions 28 to 507 of the family's 1533-position model. The record is from RNAcentral.